RNAcentral lists this long non-coding RNA (3617 nucleotides) under Homo sapiens (human). RNAcentral's name for it is "HSALNT0058608". The record is from RNAcentral. Lineage: Eukaryota; Metazoa; Chordata; Mammalia; Primates; Hominidae.
GCUCAAAAAGUAAAAUGAAUUCUCCAAGACCAUGAAGCUAAUUGGCUUCAUUCUUUAAUUUCGAUAUGGACUCACUUACAAAUGGACCACCUGACUACUGUCAUCACAAGUUCCCCGGGGAAGAGAACCUAAUUAGAAGAGACAAGCUCUCUAGAGGAGAUUGUCUCUCUGUCCAGUGAGUGUUGGUCAUUUGUGUUAUGGAAAUAGUGCACAAUGAGGGUCAUGACAAUAGUCUACACCAAGGAAUGGUAAAUUUUUCUCUGUAAAGGGGCUGAUAUGGACCCGGUGGGAGGUAAUUGAAUCAUUGGGGCAUGUCUUUGCUGUGCUGUUCUCAUGAUAGUGAAUAAGGCUCACGAAACAUGAUGGUUUUAAAAAGAGGAGUUUCCUUGAACAAGCUCUCUUUGCCUGUUACCAUCCAUAUAAGAUGUGACUGGUUUCUCCUUGCCUUCUGCCAUGAUUGUGAGGCUUCUCCAGCUACAUGGAACUGUGAGUCCUCCAUUUAACCUCUUUCCUUUGUAAAUUGCCAAUUUGUAAAUUGUGCGAAUAAAUCUUUAUUUACAAAAAUAGGGAUGGGGCAGGAUUGGUUCCUCAUGCUGUCAUUUGCUGACCCCUAGUCUACAACUACACUAUGAGCAGAAAAGACUAUUUAACAAAGGGGUGGGGCAAGUUGGAGGGGGUAAUCAUCUCCAGUAUUCUCACCAAGCACUGAAUAUUGGAAGCAGAGGCCUUUCAUGUAUGGGGAAACCUAAAGCAUGACUGCAAGUGAUAAAGCAUUCACAUCAUGUUCAGAGAACAGUUCUCAUUCUAUCAACAGAAUUUCACCCUCAGGAACAUGCCUGCCUUCCCUCAGGAUAAGUAGGGAAGGGAGAGCUCAGAAAAAAGAGGACAGUUCAGCCAACUGAGUUGGAAUAGAGAGAUUCAUAACAUUGUAGGGAGGGCAGGUUUUCAGAAAUAUAUGCCUAAUGAUCUCAUAUCUAGUUAUAGCCCUGCUGGGAAUUGUACAUUGUAGGGAACACGGUAGAGCAAUGCACAAGGUGAAGUUGGAAACAAGGCAGUAGGCAAUUUUAAAGUCCCAUUUUGAGCUAGGAAGAAAAAGGGGAUAUAAAUAUUGCAUGAAGUAGUGUCUUAAAAUCCUAUUCUAUCCAUUUCAGCAAACUAGAUACUCAGUGUUUAAUAGCACCUGAAGCCAGCUAUAAUAAGGAUGAAGGAAAGAUAUGUGCACCAGUGGAGUAGCCACCUCAACAGCACCGAUAAUACCAAGAGCUAAAAGGUCGUGUUUGUUUAAUGCUUUCCAUAAGCAACUGGUCUGACCAAAAGAAUUCUGCAGGAAUGAUUAAGCUUUCUUUAGCGCUUAUUGUAGCCUAGAUAUGGUCAGCAAGACCGAGCUCUGCAAUCAGUAGAACGGGACAAUCACAGAUAGGUUUCAGUGACCUCUCUUGGCAGCAAUUUUCCUCUCUGCCCUCACUGGCUUCAAUAGAUUCCCUGGUUUGCAGUUAUUACCUUGGCAGGACUGUUCUGCCCCUCUCUGUCAUGUAAGAUAGCCUGGGAUAAAAAGGGAGAUGGCAACAACUGAAGCAGGUGGAUACUAGAGGGGUUAUUAAAAUACUGAGUACUUGAUAUUUUAAAAUAAAAAAUUAAAAGCAAAUGGUUUCCAAAUACCUGCCAACCUUGGAGAUAUUGGGGAUUUGUUUCGAGACUAAUGCAAUAAAGCAAAUAUCAAAAUAAAGCAAGUCACAUUAAUUUUUAGUUUUUCAGUGCAUAUAAUAGUUAUGUUUCUCUAUAUAGUAUAUAUAUAUAUAAUGAAUAUACAAUAGUCUUUUAAGUAUGCAACGGUAUUAUGUAUAAAAAACAAUGUCCAUACCUUAAUUAAAAACACUUUAUUGCUAAAAUAUGCUAACAAUCAUCUGAGCCUUCAGCAAGGCAUAAUCUUUUUGCUAGCAAAUGGUCUUGCUCGAUGUUGACAGCUGCUGACUGAUCAGGGUGGUGGUUGCUGAAGGCUGGGGUGAUUGUGACAAUUUCUUAAGAUAAAACAACAAUGAAAUUUGCUACAUUGACUGACUCUUCCUAUCAUGAAAGAUUUCUCUGCAGCAUACAGGGCUAUUUGACAGCGUUUUAUGCACAGCAGAACUUUUGCAACUGGAUUCAAUCUUCUCAAAACGUGUUGCUGCUUUAUCAAGUGAGUUUAUGAACUAUUAUAAAUCCUUUGCUGUCAUUUCAACAAUAUUCACAGCAUCCUUACUAGGAAUAGAUUUAUUCUGAAGAAACCACUUUCUUUUCUCAUCCAUAAGAAACAACUCCCCCCAUUCAUUCAAGUUUGAUCAUGACAUUACAACAACCCAGUCACAUCUUUGGGCUCCACUUCUAAUUCUAAUUCUCUUGCUAUUUUCAUCACAUUGGCACUUACUUUCUUCUCUGAAGUCUUGAACCCCCUAACGUCAUCCAUCAGGGUUGGAAUCAACUUCUUCCAAACUCCAAUUAAUAUUGAUAUUUUGACCUCCUCUCAUGAAUCAAAAAUAUCCUAAUAGCAUCUAGAAUGGUGAAUCCUUUCCAGAUGGUUUUUAAUUUACUUUGCUUAAAUCCAUCAGAGGAAUUACUAUCUAUGGCUGCUAUAGUGUUAACAAAGGUAUUUCUUGAAUAAUAAGACUUGAAAGACAAAAUUACUCCUUAAUCCAUGGGCUACAGAGUGAAUGUGCUGUUAGCAGGCAUGAAAACAAGAGUAAUCUUCUGUGCAUCACAAUCAGAGCUUUUGAGUGACUAGGUGCAUUGUCAAUGAGCAGUAAUAUUUUGAAAAGAAUCUUUUUUCUGAGUAGUGUAUCUCAACUGGGGACUUAAAAUAUUCAGUACACCACACUAUGAAGAGAUGUGCUCUCGCCAAGAUUUGUUCCAUUUAUAGAGCAAAGGUGGAGUAGAUUUAGCAUAAUUCUUCAAAGCUCUAGGAUUUUAGGAAUGGUAAAUGAACACUGGCUUUUAAAGUCACUAGUUGUGUUAGCCCCUCACAAGAAAGUCAGCCUGUCCCUUUGAUGCUUUGAAGCUGGUCAUUACUUUCUCCUCUCUAAGCUAUGAAAGUCCUACAUGGCAUCUUCUUGCAAUAGAAGGCUGCUCCAAACUUUUCUUCUGCAACUUCCUCACCUCUCUCAGUCUUCGUGGAACUGAGGUGAGUUAAGGCCUUGCUCUGCACUAGGCUUUGGCUUAAUGAAAUGUUGUGGCUGGUUUGAUGUUCUGUCCAGACCACUAAAAACAUUUUUCAUAUCAGCAAUAAGCCUGUUUCACUUCCUUAUUUAUGUGUUCACUGGAGUAACACUUUUAACUUCCUUCAAGAACUCUUCCUUUGCAUUCACAAUUUUGCUAACUAAUUGGUGCAAUAGGCCUAGCUUUUAGCCUAUCUCAGCUUUGUUUUUUUUUUUUUUUUUUUUUUCUUUUCUUCCAGCCUGUGUUGCCCAGGCUGGAGUGCUGUGCAGCCUCAAAUUUCUGGGCUCAAGCAAUCCCCCCACCUCACUCUCCAGAGUAGCUGGGACUAUAGGCACACACCACCACACCCAGCUAAAUUUUUUAUUUUUUAACAAAGACUGAGUCUCACUACUUUGCUCAGGCUGGUCUCAAACUCCUGGUCUCAAGCA